GACGAACCGAGCGAACGUUGUUCGGAAUCACUGGGCUUAAAGGGUGCGUAGGCGGCUUGUUAAGUCAGGGGUGAAAGUUUUCGGCCCAACCGGAAAAUUGCCUUUGAUACUGGCGAGCUCGAGUGCGUGAGGGGUAACCGGAACGAGCAGUGUAGCGGUGAAAUGCGUAGAUAUUGCUCGGAAGGCCAACGGCGAAGGCAGGUUACUGGUACGCAACUGACGCUGAGGCACGAAAGCGUGGGGAGCAAACAGG
This 253-nucleotide ribosomal RNA is filed under the name uncultured bacterium. RNAcentral describes it as "partial 16S ribosomal RNA". It matches the Rfam family "Bacterial small subunit ribosomal RNA", at positions 524 to 776 of the family's 1533-position model. The record is from RNAcentral.